Long non-coding RNA from Ostrea edulis (European flat oyster), 794 nucleotides. RefSeq lists it as uncharacterized. The record is from RefSeq and is a predicted model, not a curated record. The transcript has 2 exons. Lineage: Eukaryota; Metazoa; Mollusca; Bivalvia; Ostreida; Ostreidae.
GUCUGACUUAAGAUUAGAGUUACGUACUCGUAAAAUGGUAUUCACAAAACCGUUCGUAUCCGCAAACGUAACUUACGAAUUCUUAAAUGUACGAUUGCACUUACGCGUGCGCAAUGACUAUUUUCACUUCGAAGCGUAAAAAGUGUGAAUUUGCUCAUCUACUUUGAAUCCCCUGCGCUACCGCCGCAUUAUGACGAAAAAGAACACAGAACCUUGUGAGAAAGCAACGAAUUUCAACGUACACGUAUGCCUGCCUACGGCAUGUCGAUCAACUGUACCGUUAUUCAGUGUUGGUUACAAAUUCAAAUGGAAGGUUCAUCAAAUUUAACGCAUUUGACUUGUGCAUGGAUCUGCGAUGCUGUACGUGUUCAAAAAGAAGUCGGCAUGGACUGACAAGUCUAUGGGUACAAUGCUGUAAUGGCCUGAAAAAUCUUUUUCGAAACCGAGAAAUGCUCAUCUUCCAUUGCCAUGAUUGUGUGAAAGGACGAGCAGAGGAAUGAUUAAAAAAUAUAUGGCAGGAUUGAGAAUCCAACCCAUGACCCGUAGUCUGGUACUUUACCCACUGCCCAAUCCAUGCUGAUGGUCCAUCUGCUACAUUGAUGUCAUCUUAUAUAUAUAUAUUUAUUCAUUUAUAUCAUAUGGACAUUUGACAGUAAAAAAAAUUUUAAAAAGUUUGAUAAUCACCAAAAUAAAAUUUGUUACAAUACAUGUUUAAGAAAUUAAGUACAAACAUUGGUAUGCAUACAAUUAUGUACAUGUAAUUAUAUUUGUUAAUAAAUAAAUUUUUAGAUGAA